Molecule: ribosomal RNA, 780 nt
Filed under: Macrobrachium rosenbergii (giant freshwater prawn)
Lineage: Eukaryota; Metazoa; Arthropoda; Malacostraca; Decapoda; Palaemonidae
Description: partial large subunit ribosomal RNA
Rfam family: Archaeal large subunit ribosomal RNA (bases 617-773)
Source: RNAcentral
AAAAUUAAUUGAUUUUGUUGAUUAGUAUUCUGUAGAAUUUUGUUAUUAAGGUUAUAGUUAAUGAGUACAGUGAUGGAAGUUUUAUUGAAUUAGGUUAAAGUAGCGUUGAGUUUUCGUACCUUUUGUAUCAGGGGUGAACUAAAUUGGUAUAUUAGUUAUGGAGUCCCGAAACAAAGAGAGCUAGGUUUUGUUGCUUUUUUACGUGGUAAAGUGAUUUGUAAUGGGUCUCUAGUGGUGAUAUGUUAGUCGAUUUUUGUAUAUCUGGUUUUCCGUUAAAUGAAUUUAAUUUUGUGUCAAGUUAAAGUUUAAUUUGAUAGUUACGAUAGGAGGAAUGAGCUUCUUAUCUGUUGUUUUGUUAAGCGUCUUAUUAGUUUUCAUUUGAGGUGGGGCUUAAAAUCAGCCAUCUUGGUAUAACGUUAGAGAUAAUAUUGAGGUUUUUUUAUUUUUUAUAAGGUGUUUGCUUUUAUUAGCGGGGAAAUGCCGUUUAUUGAUUAAGCGGCAGUUACAAAUGUUUAUACUAAGUACGAAUUGAAGUUAAUUUUUAUUUUUUAAGAGUGUUAUUUGUUUAUUUAAGUAGUUUUGAGAAGCGCUUACGAAGGAACUCGGCAAAUUUUGGUCCCCGCCUGUUUAUCAAAAACAUGUCUGUGUGAAUUAGUUAUAAAGUCUAGCCUGCCCACUGAUUUAUUUAAAGGGCCGCGGUAAUUUGACCGUGCGAAGGUAGCAUAGUCAGUAGUCUUUUAAUUGGAGGCUUGAAUGAAUGGUUGGACGAGGGAUAAACUG